AGACGGAGGGGGCUAGCGUUGUUCGGAUUUACUGGGCGUAAAGGGCGUGUAGGCGGGACAUCAAGUUAGGCGUGAAAGCCCCGGGCUCAACCCGGGAACUGCGCUUGAUACUGGUGACCUAGAGUCCGGGAGAGGGUGGUGGAAUUCCCAGUGUAGAGGUGAAAUUCGUAGAUAUUGGGAAGAACACCAGUGGCGAAGGCGGCCACCUGGACCGGUACUGACGCUAAGGCGCGAAAGCGUGGGGAGCAAACAGGAUUAGAAACCCCAGUAGUCC
This 274-nucleotide ribosomal RNA is filed under the name uncultured bacterium. Its description in RNAcentral is "partial 16S ribosomal RNA". It matches the Rfam family "Bacterial small subunit ribosomal RNA", at positions 523 to 796 of the family's 1533-position model. The record is from RNAcentral.